GAUGAACGCUGGCGGCGUGCCUAAUACAUGCAAGUAGAACGCUGAAGCUUGGUGCUUGCACCGAGCGGAUGAGUUGCGAACGGGUGAGUAACGCGUAGGUAACCUGCCUGGUAGCGGGGGAUAACUAUUGGAAACGAUAGCUAAUACCGCAUGACAACAGUUAUUGCAUGAUAACUGUUUAAAAGGGGCAAUUGCUCCACUACCAGAUGGACCUGCGUUGUAUUAGCUAGUUGGUGAGGUAACGGCUCACCAAGGCGACGAUACAUAGCCGACCUGAGAGGGUGAUCGGCCACACUGGGACUGAGACACGGCCCAGACUCCUACGGGAGGCAGCAGUAGGGAAUCUUCGGCAAUGGACGGAAGUCUGACCGAGCAACGCCGCGUGAGUGAAGAAGGUUUUCGGAUCGUAAAGCUCUGUUGUAAGAGAAGAACGAGUGUGAGAGUGGAAAGUUCACACUGUGACGGUAUCUUACCAGAAAGGGACGGCUAACUACGUGCCAGCAGCCGCGGUAAUACGUAGGUCCCGAGCGUUAUCCGGAUUUAUUGGGCGUAAAGCGAGCGCAGGCGGUUAGAUAAGUCUGAAGUUAAAGGCUGUGGCUUAACCAUAGUACGCUUUGGAGACUGCUUAACUUGAGUGCAAGAGGGGAGAGUGGAAUUCCAUGUGUAGCGGUGAAAUGCGUAUAUAUGUGGAUGAACACCGGGUGGCGAAAGCGGCUUCUCUGGCUUGUAGACUGACUCUUAGGCUCGAAAGCGUGGGGAGCAAACAGG
Molecule: ribosomal RNA, 768 nt
Filed under: uncultured Streptococcus sp.
Lineage: Bacteria; Bacillati; Bacillota; Bacilli; Lactobacillales; Streptococcaceae
Description: bacterial SSU rRNA
Rfam family: Bacterial small subunit ribosomal RNA
Source: RNAcentral